ACCCACGAGCAGGUUGAAGUCGCGGUAACACGUGAUGGAGGACCGAACCGGUAAACGUUGAAAAGUUUUCGGAUGACCUGUGGGUAGGGGUGAAAGGCCAAUCAAACUGGGAAAUAGCUCGUACUCUCCGAAAUGCAUUUAGGUGCAGCCUCUGUUGUUUUGUUCUAGAGGUAGAGCUACUGAUUGGAUGCGAGGGCUUCACCGCCUAUCAAAUCCGGCCAAACUCCGAAUGCUAGAACAUAAAGACAGGGAGUGAGCCAGCGGGUGCUAAGGUCCGUUGACGAAAGAGGGAGAACUCAGACCAUCAGCUAAGGUCCCCAAUUAUAUGCUAAGUUGGAAUAAAAACGGGGUGGGACUGCUUAGACAGCUAGGAUGUUGGCUUGGAAGCAGCCAUUCAUUUAAAGAGUGCGUAACAGCUCACUAGUCGAGCGGUCCUGCAUGGAUAAUACGCGGGCAUAAGCAUAUAACCGAAGCUAUGGGAUUGUAGAUGAUACAAUCGGUAGGAGAGCAUUCCAUUCAGCAUAGAAGCAGUAUCGUGAGGUAUUGUGGAGCGGAUGGAAAAGCAAAUGUAGGCAUAAGUAACGAUAAUGCGGGUGAGAACCCCGCACGCCGAAAGAUCAAGGAUUCCCCGGCAAUGUCAAUCAUCCGGGGGUAAGUCGGAUCCUAAGGGUAAGCCGAGUGGCGAUCCCGAUGGCAAACAGGUUAAUAUUCCUGUACUGAUCAUAACUGCGAUGCAGCGACGCAGAGGUGACACUGCUGCGUACUGACGGAAUAGUACGUUGAAACCCGUAUUCUUUGAUACCGGUAGUGAAGCACGCCGGUAGAGAUGAAAGGUGAUAGUACCGCAAUGCUUCGGUUGCGCGGAUAAUGCAGGUAAGCUGACUGCCAAGAAAACCUGCUAAGCUUCAGGUAAUGAUCAUCCGUACUGUAAACGGACACACGUGAUCAGGUAGAAAAUACUAAGGCGCUCGAGAGAUUCAUGGUUAAGGAACUAGGCAAAAUGGUCCUGUAACUUCGGGAUAAAGGACGCUCUUGUGAAAGAGCCGCAGAUAAUAGGCCCAGGCGACUGUUUACCAAAAACACAUGGCUAUGCUAAUUCGCAAGAAGAUGUAUAUGGCCUGACACCUGCCCGGUGCCGGAAGGUUAAGAGGAGAGCUCAGAGGUAACUCGAAGGUUUGAAUUGAAGCCCCGGUAAACGGCGGCCGUAACUAUAACGGUCCUAAGGUAGCGAAAUUCCUUGUCGGGU
Molecule: ribosomal RNA, 1246 nt
Filed under: human gut metagenome
Description: bacterial LSU rRNA
Rfam family: Bacterial large subunit ribosomal RNA
Source: RNAcentral